This 253-nucleotide ribosomal RNA is filed under the name uncultured bacterium. RNAcentral's name for it is "partial 16S ribosomal RNA". It matches the Rfam family "Bacterial small subunit ribosomal RNA", at positions 524 to 776 of the family's 1533-position model. The record is from RNAcentral.
UACGUAGGGUGCAAGCGUUGUCCGGAAUUAUUGGGCGUAAAGAGCUCGUAGGCGGUCUGUCACGUCGGCUGUGAAAUCCCGAGGCUCAACCUCGGGUCUGCAGUCGAUACGGGCAAACUAGAGUAUUGCAGGGGAGACUGGAAUUCCUGGUGUAGCGGUGAAAUGCGUAGAUAUCUGGAGGAACACCGGUGGCGAAGGCGACAUCCUGGACCGGUAUUGACGCUGAGGCGCGAAAGCCAGGGGAGCAAACGGG